This is a long non-coding RNA of Dreissena polymorpha, 759 nucleotides long. RefSeq lists it as uncharacterized. The record is from RefSeq and is a predicted model, not a curated record. NCBI's taxonomy places the organism in Eukaryota, Metazoa, Mollusca, Bivalvia, Myida, Dreissenidae. The transcript has 3 exons.
UGAGCUCUUCAAGCGGAAACGGGCUACCAUUAUCCGGGAACGGUCACGGCGCAAGUGCUGGAAUAGACUCUUGGGGAUCUGGUUCAGGAACCGGAGGCAGUGGCGGGAGUGGUGAUCCCUGAAAUGCAGCGUCGGUUGGAGACAGUGACGGGAGCGCUUCAGUUUGCGGGAUGGACGCAUGAGGAGCUAUUAACGUCGCGGCAUCAACCCGAUGUUUCCGGUAGUUAGUGGAAGCGGUAAUGGCGGCUGCACGGGCCCGUUCUGUAUGGGCGCCAGAAAUGGCGGCAGUGGAGGAGCCAGAAGUGGCGGUGGGAUGAUGGGCGGACCCAGGGGAGUGAGAGGAUUUAACUGACCCUGAAGCAAAACGGGUUUGAUUCAGAACAAGUGUUUGGAUUGUAGUGAAUUUCAUAACCAGGCCAGCCAAGUUUUAUUCACUGUUCAGCAUCCCCAUGAUGUUUUAUAAACUCGCAUGUAAGAAUUCAAAAGUCGUUAAUAUACUGUUAUUAAACAGUUUUACCAUGUAUACUUCUAAUAGUUGUACAUUUUUACCAUAUUUAUUUCGAACAGUUGGGUUAUGUAACCCAUAACCCUUUGUAAGACCCGCCCCUUCUUGCAUUUGUGAUUUUUUUCUAUAUGUCAUCACUCUUCUGAACAAUUGAAAAAUACAGGGGCUUUUGGUGGUUUAAUUUUAAUUUGAAUUAUUGAUAUGAAAUCAACAUUUAACUUAUAUGUAAUAUAAUUAUCUGUUGAAAUGUAUAU